RNAcentral lists this non-coding RNA (110 nucleotides) under Ureibacillus sinduriensis. RNAcentral describes it as "Lysinibacillus sinduriensis SAM-I sequence". It matches the Rfam family "SAM riboswitch aptamer (S box leader)". From Rfam's summary of the family: The SAM riboswitch is found upstream of a number of genes which code for proteins involved in methionine or cysteine biosynthesis in Gram-positive bacteria. The SAM riboswitch acts at the level of transcription termination control. RNAcentral also lists the same sequence under 1 other name. Lineage: Bacteria; Bacillati; Bacillota; Bacilli; Caryophanales; Caryophanaceae. The record is from RNAcentral.
AUCUUAUCAAGAGAAGCAGAGGGAAAUGGCCCGAUGAAGCUUCAGCAACCUCUAACAUCGUUAGAAAGGUGCUAAUUCCAGCAAGACAUAAGUGUCUUGGGAGAUAAGAG